AUGAGGACUGUUGCAUCUGUAACAAGUCUACUGUUGCAACCGGCACUGAGGGGAAUUACUUUUCUUAUGGACAAAAGGGGCAAGCCGUUGUGGCUGACCGAAAAAAAUGUUACUAAAGGCCCUGAGAGUGCUUCUCCCUCCAUCAGUGUACCCAGUGCAGGUAGCUAGCUACAUAUUGAAAUGAAAUGUUCCUCCACCUUUAACCAUUUUGACUGUCCCCUAAAACCUUUUGUCUUUGUACCCCAGAUACUACAGAAUACAUGGUCCUAAAAGGGUUUCCCCCAACACCAGUGUAAAAAGUUAGAAAGAAGACUGCCCGCACAAGCACUGAUGAGGCCCGAAACUCAUAUUGCAAGUAUGUGGAUUGUGGAAUAUUAAAUACUAUUUAAUAUGUAAUACUGUAAACCACGCACAAAGUUUCUGAACUCAACUCAAUACAGAUGAACCUCCUGCGCACAGCAAUAGACUGUAUAUGAGUGUAGCAUGUUCUGAAUAAUAGGAAGGGCCACAAUCUGUGUGUGUUUGUGUGUGUGUCCGUGUUGGCUUGUGCAAAGUGUCAUGUGUGUCUUAUUGUUCCACAUUUUAUAGUCAUAUUCUCUAAUCUCCCGGUUGGAACCAAUAUGACUGAAUAUCUCCACCAGGCGACCAAAAGAACAAGUGACCCGACACCCUUUGUUCUGAGUCUCGGGGACAAUCGUCUCUAGUCCCUGGCAUUCACCAUCAUGAAUGGGCAGGUUCUGGAGACAUUAUGUGUUGUUGUUGUUUUUACAAAGAAUGCACUUGAACAUGUAUACCUGGUAGGGCUUGGGGGAGUAGAGGGUAAAGUUGUUACUUUUCUUCAGCCCCAUUCCUCAGCUUAAAUUGGUAGGGCUGCUGUGAUUUUCAAAUGAUGGAUUGUGCUUCUGAAAUGUUUGCUUAUUUGUGUGUUCCCUAUUUGUGCUUUGUCUUUUGCAUGACUUCAUUUUGUAGCUGAGAUGAAUAGCUGAGAAUAAAGGUGUUGUGUUCUAUCUACAAUUUGUCAUGACUGGCCCCAUGUCAUUUUAAGAAUUAUUGUUAGAAGUAUUCAUACUUUUUGAAAAUGAGCUGAUUCUGUAAUAGAGAAAAGGUAGAAAAAUAGCCUAGAAAUAAAGUAAGAAAUAACCCACUGCUGGGUCAAAAUAACAACCCCAACGUGUUGGGUCAUUCACAUAACCCAACAGUGCUGGGUCAAAAUAACCUAAGUGCUAUAGUGACCCAGUUUUGGGUUACAGCAUAUUUUUUUUUUAGAGCGCAUGAUUUUCACAACUUCACAGUAUUAUUUCAUCCUCAUAGAAUGAAAAUAUAUGUAAAACAAAGAAUCACGUUUUUGACUCCACUGGGCCUCUAAACAACCUCAAAGUUCAUGGAAAUGUGUCAUUCUCUGUCCAAAUUCAAG
RNAcentral lists this long non-coding RNA (1414 nucleotides) under Oncorhynchus kisutch (coho salmon). RNAcentral describes it as "lncRNA (ENSOKIG00005011997.1)". The record is from RNAcentral. Lineage: Eukaryota; Metazoa; Chordata; Actinopteri; Salmoniformes; Salmonidae.